Molecule: long non-coding RNA, 617 nt
Organism: Mauremys mutica (yellowpond turtle)
Lineage: Eukaryota; Metazoa; Chordata; Testudines; Geoemydidae
Exons: 4
Source: RefSeq, a predicted model, not a curated record
CAGGGCUAAAUGACUCUGUGUUGAACACACAUGUGCCUGGUGCAGUUAACGUUCUUGGAACCCCCAACGCAGCUGCAAUGUGGCCGAGAAACAGAUAUCAAGACAUGAAAGAGGUCAAAUGAAAGCAAGAGGGGGACAAGGAGGAGAAUGAUCUAGGACCAGCUUUUCAAAGGACCCAGCACCAAUGUAAUUGGCCAGAUUUUCCAAAGAACUCAGCACACGGAUUGCAAACUGGGGGCUCAGCACAUCAGGUGUGAGUGUCACCAAGGAAGUUGCUGGAUGCUGAACACUGGAAAAUCUGGCCCUUGUUUUGUUGCCUAAAUGGGAGUUUCAUGCAGACAAUGAAGAAUCUCUGGGCCCUACAGCAACACUAGCAGGAAUGGACAUGUUUAAAACAAGCGCUGGACUGGGACCAAACGCAGUCUGGGCGACACCAAAUUAUCCUGAGGCAGAGGCAGAGCCCGCAGCUGCUGACUGCAGGCUAGGUGGGAAGAUGAUCCCAGACCCAAGGGGGCCCUGCCAGCUGUUUCCAUAUCUGCAGCCUCUCCCUGGCCAGGCUGCACCCAGACAUUUUGUUGAGCUGUCGCAACGUCAGCUGAAGCCACCCACAGUUUCUG